This 784-nucleotide long non-coding RNA is filed under the name Equus asinus (donkey). RNAcentral's name for it is "lncRNA (ENSEASG00005029231.1)". Lineage: Eukaryota; Metazoa; Chordata; Mammalia; Perissodactyla; Equidae. The record is from RNAcentral.
ACCAGCUGCCGGCGGCUCGGAGGCCCAGAGCGCACCUCACUGCAUCCACUCAAUGGCGGCCCCGGGCCCUGGAGGUGUGUGAUGAGUGGCGGACUCCAUCCUAGCAGGGCACGCUGGGGGCCCAGGGGACAGUUGGACCUCGGAGGAGCCUUUUUCUGCCUCCCUCGGAAGGCCAGCCUCAGCUGGUAGUCUAGGCUGGUCCCACCUCUUACCUGCUGCUGCCACCACCGAGAGCCUUCGAUCCCUCCCUGAUGGCUCCCUCGCCCGAGGACCCAGGGCCUGACCUGGAGAGUGGACCACCUUUCCUGAGCAUCAACAUUCUGCCUGUGGGGCACAGAUGGAUUGAGGGGGAGAACUCAGGGGGAGCCGCCCCAGCCCUUACCCACUGGGGCCCGUGGCUGGGCUGCGUGUGGCUCCCUACCCACCUGCUCACGUUCUCUGAGGAAGGGGCCAUGUCUCCACCUGGGAGGAACUGGAGCUUUGCAACGCCAGGAGAACUUGGUCCAGCCACCCCCACAGUGGCCAGCCUGCUCAGUGAGCUCACAGGUGGGGAGGCUGGUUUGGGCUGCCCCAUCCCCACAGCCCCACCCACGAUCCCGAGCCAGUGAUGCUGAGUAGGGCCCACCUGUCACUGUGCCCCACUCAGCCUGGAUCCCAGCCCAGCCAACUGUGUGCUAAGGUGCCAAUAGAGCAGCACAGCAAUGCUCAGAGACAUUCAGUCACUAACUCAAGCUCACACAGCAGGAUUUCCACUUCGUUGGUGGGGAGGGGGCCCAGCUCGGGG